This 242-nucleotide long non-coding RNA is filed under the name Elaeis guineensis (African oil palm). Its description in RNAcentral is "long non-coding RNA (EGUI_LNC067254)". The record is from RNAcentral. Lineage: Eukaryota; Viridiplantae; Streptophyta; Magnoliopsida; Arecales; Arecaceae.
GUGCCAGGGAUCGUUCAGGGCCACGUGGAGUUGGUUACGGAGAGUGGAGUGGUGGCUAUUGUCGCGACUUGCCAGAGUAUAGUGGAGCCACACAGAAUCCACUGCAGGGAGUGGAGCAGGGUAGUGGCCUUCGUCGUGGCUUGCUAGAGAGUUCGAACUUGUCGGCUGGAGCUCGACUGGGACAUCUGAUGGAGUGAAAUAGCUUUCUAUUGUUGCUCUGGGAGAGGCUCGGAUGUCUUCAA